GUGGGGAAUGGCGUUGAUGGGAGUUUUUAAUAGUCUUGAUUUGAUUGAUUGAUAUACAUGGAAGUUUUUAACGACACUGACUCAAUGACUGGCUAUACAACACAUAGAAGUUUUUGACGACAUUGACUGCCUAAACAGCCCUUUGAGUUUCUCAGUCGGCUAUAAAGGGGGAAUGACACGGUGUCCGCCCCCUUUUGUUGAAAAA
Molecule: long non-coding RNA, 205 nt
Filed under: Mytilus galloprovincialis (Mediterranean mussel)
Lineage: Eukaryota; Metazoa; Mollusca; Bivalvia; Mytilida; Mytilidae
Source: RNAcentral